RNAcentral lists this ribosomal RNA (1918 nucleotides) under Shigella flexneri. RNAcentral's name for it is "partial 23S ribosomal RNA". It matches the Rfam family "Bacterial large subunit ribosomal RNA", at positions 1040 to 2925 of the family's 2925-position model. Lineage: Bacteria; Pseudomonadati; Pseudomonadota; Gammaproteobacteria; Enterobacterales; Enterobacteriaceae. The record is from RNAcentral.
UAAGGUCCCAAAGUCAUGGUUAAGUGGGAAACGAUGUGGGAAGGCCCAGACAGCCAGGAUGUUGGCUUAGAAGCAGCCAUCAUUUAAAGAAAGCGUAAUAGCUCACUGGUCGAGUCGGCCUGCGCGGAAGAUGUAACGGGGCUAAACCAUGCACCGAAGCUGCGGCAGCGACGCUUAUGCGUUGUUGGGUAGGGGAGCGUUCUGUAAGCCUGUGAAGGUGUGCUGUGAGGUAUGCUGGAGGUAUCAGAAGUGCGAAUGCUGACAUAAGUAACGAUAAAGCGGGUGAAAAGCCCGCUCGCCGGAAGACCAAGGGUUCCUGUCCAACGUUAAUCGGGGCAGGGUGAGUCGACCCCUAAGGCGAGGCCGAAAGGCGUAGUCGAUGGGAAACAGGUUAAUAUUCCUGUACUUGGUGUUACUGCGAAGGGGGGACGGAGAAGGCUAUGUUGGCCGGGCGACGGUUGUCCCGGUUUAAGCGUGUAGGCUGGUUUUCCAGGCAAAUCCGGAAAAUCAAGGCCGAGGCGUGAUGACGAGGCACUACGGUGCUGAAGCAACAAAUGCCCUGCUUCCAGGAAAAGCCUCUAAGCAUCAGGUAACAUCAAAUCGUACCCCAAACCGACACAGGUGGUCAGGUAGAGAAUACCAAGGCGCUUGAGAGAACUCGGGUGAAGGAACUAGGCAAAAUGGUGCCGUAACUUCGGGAGAAGGCACGCUGAUACGUAGGUGAAGCGACUUGCUCGUGGAGCUGAAAUCAGUCGAAGAUACCAGCUGGCUGCAACUGUUUAUUAAAAACACAGCACUGUGCAAACACGAAAGUGGACGUAUACGGUGUGACGCCUGCCCGGUGCCGGAAGGUUAAUUGAUGGGGUUAGCGCAAGCGAAGCUCUUGAUCGAAGCCCCGGUAAACGGCGGCCGUAACUAUAACGGUCCUAAGGUAGCGAAAUUCCUUGUCGGGUAAGUUCCGACCUGCACGAAUGGCGUAAUGAUGGCCAGGCUGUCUCCACCCGAGACUCAGUGAAAUUGAACUCGCUGUGAAGAUGCAGUGUACCCGCGGCAAGACGGAAAGACCCCGUGAACCUUUACUAUAGCUUGACACUGAACAUUGAGCCUUGAUGUGUAGGAUAGGUGGGAGGCUUUGAAGUGUGGACGCCAGUCUGCAUGGAGCCGACCUUGAAAUACCACCCUUUAAUGUUUGAUGUUCUAACGUGGACCCGUGAUCCGGGUUGCGGACAGUGUCUGGUGGGUAGUUUGACUGGGGCGGUCUCCUCCUAAAGAGUAACGGAGGAGCACGAAGGUUGGCUAAUCCUGGUCGGACAUCAGGAGGUUAGUGCAAUGGCAUAAGCCAGCUUGACUGCGAGCGUGACGGCGCGAGCAGGUGCGAAAGCAGGUCAUAGUGAUCCGGUGGUUCUGAAUGGAAGGGCCAUCGCUCAACGGAUAAAAGGUACUCCGGGGAUAACAGGCUGAUACCGCCCAAGAGUUCAUAUCGACGGCGGUGUUUGGCACCUCGAUGUCGGCUCAUCACAUCCUGGGGCUGAAGUAGGUCCCAAGGGUAUGGCUGUUCGCCAUUUAAAGUGGUACGCGAGCUGGGUUUAGAACGUCGUGAGACAGUUCGGUCCCUAUCUGCCGUGGGCGCUGGAGAACUGAGGGGGGCUGCUCCUAGUACGAGAGGACCGGAGUGGACGCAUCACUGGUGUUCGGGUUGUCAUGCCAAUGGCACUGCCCGGUAGCUAAAUGCGGAAGAGAUAAGUGCUGAAAGCAUCUAAGCACGAAACUUGCCCCGAGAUGAGUUCUCCCUGACCCUUUAAGGGUCCUGAAGGAACGUUGAAGACGACGACGUUGAUAGGCCGGGUGUGUAAGCGCAGCGAUGCGUUGAGCUAACCGGUACUAAUGAACCGUGAGGCUUAACCUUACAACGCCGAAG